RNAcentral lists this ribosomal RNA (443 nucleotides) under uncultured Bacteroidota bacterium. RNAcentral's name for it is "bacterial SSU rRNA". It matches the Rfam family "Bacterial small subunit ribosomal RNA", at positions 917 to 1359 of the family's 1533-position model. The record is from RNAcentral. Lineage: Bacteria; Pseudomonadati; Bacteroidota.
GGGCCCGCACAAGCGGAGGAACAUGUGGUUUAAUUCGAUGAUACGCGAGGAACCUUACCCGGGCUAGAACGUAGGGAGACCGAUGGGGAAACUCAUUUUUCAGCAAUGACUGCCUACGAGGUGCUGCAUGGUUGUCGUCAGCUCGUGCCGUGAGGUGUCGGCUUAAGUGCCAUAACGAGCGCAACCCUUAUUGUUAGUUGCCAGCGGGUCAUGCCGGGGACUCUAGCAAAACUGCCAGCGUAAGCUGUGAGGAAGGUGGGGAUGACGUCAAAUCAGCACGGCCCUUACGUCCGGGGCGACACACGUGUUACAAUGGGUGGUACAGAGGGUAGCUACCGGGUGACCGGAUGCCAAUCUCUAAAGCCAUUCUCAGUUCGGAUCGAAGUCUGCAACCCGACUUCGUGAAGCUGGAUUCGUCUAGUAAUCGCGCAUCAGCCAUGGCG